This 519-nucleotide ribosomal RNA is filed under the name uncultured eukaryote. Its description in RNAcentral is "SSU rRNA". It matches the Rfam family "Eukaryotic small subunit ribosomal RNA", at positions 1161 to 1704 of the family's 1831-position model. The record is from RNAcentral.
AGGGCACCACCAGGAGUGGAGCCUGCGGCUUAAUUUGACUCAGCACGGGAAAACUCACCCGGCCCGGACACCGUAAGGAUUGACAGAUUGAGAGCUCUUUCUUGAUUCGGUGGUUGGUGGUGCAUGGCCGUUCUUAGUUGGUGGAGCGAUUUGUCUGGUUUAUUCCGAUAACGAACGAGACUCUGGCCUACUAAAUAGAGACAGGAUUAUUACUGUCCUGGAUUCUUCUUAGAGGGACAAGUGGUUUUCAGCCACACGAAAUUGAGCAAUAACAGGUCUGUGAUGCCCUUAGAUGUCCGGGGCUGCACGCGCGCUACACUGAAGGAAUCAGCGUGCUAAAACCAUUGUCGAAAGGCAUUGGUAAACCCCUCAAAAUCCUACGUGAUUGGGAUCGGGAAUUGCAAUUAUUUCCCUUGAACGAGGAAUUCCCAGUAAGUGUGGGUCAUAAGCUCGCGUUGAUUACGUCCCUGCCCUUUGUACACACCGCCCGUCGCUGCCCGGGACUGAGCCGUUUCGAGA